This 928-nucleotide long non-coding RNA is filed under the name Vigna radiata. Its description in RNAcentral is "long non-coding RNA (VRAD_LNC006704)". The record is from RNAcentral. Lineage: Eukaryota; Viridiplantae; Streptophyta; Magnoliopsida; Fabales; Fabaceae.
UUCAUACUCUUCAUUUCAAUCUGAUGUGUGAAGAUUUUUCCUUGUGCUUAUAAGAACUUUCUUCUUGUCCUUUUUGGUGAAUGUCACCUUCUUUUUUAACUUUUCAAGAUUAGGACAUUCUGACCUAAAAUAUCAUGGCUCUUUGCACUUAAAAUAAACCAUUGGUCUGUCUUUCCUUUUGUCCUUAGGUUCAUUCCUCGAUGUUGAUCCAACAUGUCUUCCUCUAAAGGAAGUAUUCUUUUUCUUUUGCCAGUGGAUCUUCCCGACGAUUAAUGAGUGCUCAUCCUCUUCUUUCUCUUCAUUUGAGUCUUCUUCCUUAUUGGACUCUUAAGGGCUAUUGAACCGUACAAGCUUUUGUAGGUAUCCUUCUAUGCUUUUAUUUUUUUUCAGCAUCCUAUGCUGCUAAACACUAGUAAAAAAAGUGGAUAUUGACGCACCGUAUAUGCUUCAGUUAUGUGAAACCCGAAGCGUAAAAGACUAUAUACCUCGGUUACACCUUGACCUGAGGCAGAAUGGUGAUAUUGCCUCGGUUAGAAGAAACCCGAGACCUAUACCUCUGCUUUUUGUCUGACAACAUUUUGUAAAGGUCGUAUUGCCUCGGGUUGCCAGGCAACCGCUGCCUAUACACUUGUGCCACCUGACAUUUCAGCACUUUAUACCUCGGGUUUGGCUCUUAACUGGUGUCAUAUUGUGCUCUUCACUCUGCUUCUCAAAUCUCAACCUACACAUGCUUCAUUUGCACAGCCCAACAACUUAUUCUUUCUUCCCCCAUUCUUCUCCUCUACGGUUUCAUCCUAUUCUUCCUUACCAGUGCUCUUCCAUUCUUCCUUGCCGGUGGUCUCCCAUUCUUCCUCUCCCUGUGCUGCUAGUGGUCUCGCCUGCCUCUUGCUCAUUGUCGUUCUCGGCACCAUGCCUCCUGCCUGUGCCA